This 207-nucleotide ribosomal RNA is filed under the name uncultured bacterium. Its description in RNAcentral is "partial 16S ribosomal RNA". It matches the Rfam family "Bacterial small subunit ribosomal RNA", at positions 568 to 774 of the family's 1533-position model. The record is from RNAcentral.
UGCGUAGGUGGCGGGGUAAGUUUGAUGUGAAAGCUCCGGGCUCAACCUGGAAAUGGCAUUGAAUACUAUCUCGCUAGAGGAUUGAAGGGGGGACUGGAAUUCUCGGUGUAGCAGUGAAAUGCGUAGAUAUCGAGAAGAACACCAGUGGCGAAGGCGAGUCCCUGGGCAACUCCUGACACUGAGGCACGAAAGCUAGGGGAGCAAACA